RNAcentral lists this ribosomal RNA (254 nucleotides) under uncultured bacterium. RNAcentral's name for it is "partial 16S ribosomal RNA". It matches the Rfam family "Bacterial small subunit ribosomal RNA", at positions 524 to 776 of the family's 1533-position model. The record is from RNAcentral.
UACGUAGGGUGCGAGCGUUGUCCGGAAUUACUGGGCGUAAAGAGCUCGUAGGCGGUGUGUCGCGUCGGCCGUGAAAACCUGCAGCUUAACUGUGGGCGUGCGGUCGAUACGGGCAUCACUGGAGUUCGGCAGGGGAGACUGGAAUUCCUGGUGUAGCGGUGAAAUGCGCAGAUAUCAGGAGGAACACCGGUGGCGAAGGCGGGUCUCUGGGCCGAUACUGACGCUGAGGAGCGAAAGCGUGGGGAUCAAACAGG